AGUAUCAUUAAGUGAAUACAUAGCUUAAUGAGGGGAACUCAGGGAACUGAAACAUCUAAGUACCUGAAGGAAGAGAAAGAAAUUCGAUUCCGUAAGUAGCGGCGAGCGAACGCGGAUUAGCCCAAACCAAUAAAGUUUUCUUUAUUGGGGUUGCGGACAUAUCAUAACGAAGAGGUAUCGUAAUUGAAGAGGUUUGGAAAGACCCACCACAGAAGGUAAUAGUCCUGUAUGUUAAACGAGAAGACUUUAGAUAUGAUCCAGAGUACCACGGGACACGUGAAACCCUGUGGGAAGCAGGAGGGACCACCCUCCAAGGCUAAAUACUACCUAGUGACCGAUAGCGUAUAGUACCGUGAGGGAAAGGUGAAAAGAACCCCGGGAGGGGAGUGAAAUAGAACCUGAAACCCUGCACUUACAAGCUGUGGAAGCACAUUUCUUGUGUGACCGCGUACUUUUUGUAGAACGGGCCAACGAGUUACGUUAAGUAGCAAGGUUAAGCACUUAAGGUGCGGAGCCGUAGCGAAAGCGAGUUUUAACUGAGCGUUCAGUUACUUGACGUAGACCCGAAACCGGGCGACCUACCCAUGAGCAGGAUGAAGCGAAAGUAAAAUUUCGUGGAGGUCCGAACCCACGAGCGUUGAAAAGCUCGGGGAUGACUUGUGGGUAGCGGUGAAAUUCCAAUCGAGCCCGGAGAUAGCUGGUUCUCCCCGAAAUAGCUUUAGGGCUAGCCUCAAGGUGAGAGAUACGGAGGUAGAGCACUGAAUGUCCUAGGGGGUAUUGCACCUA
This 786-nucleotide ribosomal RNA is filed under the name Clostridioides difficile. Its description in RNAcentral is "bacterial LSU rRNA". It matches the Rfam family "Bacterial large subunit ribosomal RNA", at positions 147 to 938 of the family's 2925-position model. The record is from RNAcentral. Lineage: Bacteria; Bacillati; Bacillota; Clostridia; Peptostreptococcales; Peptostreptococcaceae.